RNAcentral lists this long non-coding RNA (1921 nucleotides) under Olea europaea subsp. europaea. Lineage: Eukaryota; Viridiplantae; Streptophyta; Magnoliopsida; Lamiales; Oleaceae. The record is from RNAcentral.
AUAUAUAUAUAUAUAUAUAUAGGUGAGAAAUUUUCUCGCUUUCAUGAUAAUGAUAGAUAGAUAGAAUAUGUGUGUGUGUAGGUCAAAAUAUGAAUUUUGGUAUACUUGAAAGUGGUGUCGUGUCCCACGAGAAAAGAUUCCAAUCAAGAUUAUAAUGCUUUAUAAUUAUCCCAUUCAAAGUUAAAAGGAAUCUACUUUAUCCAUUUUUAACCAAACAAACAAAAACACAACACACACACGUGGUUGCCAUCCUUUAGAGUUAGGAAACCAAAUUUAUUCAAAUACCAAACAAAUAACAACUUCAUACUUCAAUAACUUGGGGGUUGAGGUAUCCGAAUCAACUUCUUCUUGGGUUUAAAAUUAGAUAAUUAACUAUGAGUUAUCCAACGAGCUCCAUAUUGAUAUACUUAUCUUUGUCCUAUUAAUAUCUAAACAUUUCAAUAAAAUUGUAUUAAUACAUAUAUCACUUUAGUUCCUCCAACUUUUCAAAAUUAAAAAAUACACCAUAUAAAAUAAUUAAUUCUAUUCUAUGAAAAUUUUCGGGACUUUACAAAGAACGAGAAGGAUUGCAGCAGUUAGACACUCGAUUGCUAAGUAAAGUAGACGUCUACUUUGUAGUUCAGCACCGAAAAGAUUCAGUAAGGUCUCAUUCAUUCUUUUGCAAGCUCAUUAAGUUGGUUUGCAAGUUUUAAUUGGUACUGUCGAUUCACGUACUCCGAAAAGCUCUACUAUCUAUCUGAAUAAUUUACUUGAGUUCUAUUGCACUUGUUGAGCUCUAUUUUUUCGGCUUCCCUAAAAUUAAAUGUCUUGAAGUUGGUAGAUACCUAACCACUAUUUCAUUCAGAAUGAGUCCUUGGGACCUCAAGACAUUGGCUUUCCCUGCAGUGAACUAUUAAGGAUCGCAUCCUGCAUAGUUAAUCCCAUUCUGCUAUGAGAAAGCAUGAGAAAUCGCACCCAAAUACUUUGAAAUGUGAAAGAGUAUGCUCACUUUUGUACAAUACCUGAUAUGGUAAUAGAAAACCAAGCUUUUUUCUUUUUGGAUUAAACGACAAUUCUAGUGCUGCGGUGCAUUUGUUCCUUUGCUUGACAGCUACCCUUAAUUUAACUACGCCUUCCAUCAGUAUGAGUAAAUGGGUUUCCCAGCUCCCGAUCUUUCUCAUCUUCUCAUUCUCAUCAUCAAAAUGAAUCUUCUAUUUGUAUAAUAGGUCCAGAGGAUAAUUUCACUAGAAGAUAGAGAUUUUGUUCCUCUAAAGGAAAGAGAAUUGUCUUCCCAAUUAAACAGAGGGUUUGUUUCAUCAGAAAAUGAUUUUGUUGAAGUGAAAUUUCAAAUUGGAUCGACUAAAACAAGUAUCCGAACUUGGUUGGCCUUUCUGUUAGGAAAUUAGACCACUACUAAUUUCGCCAGGAUCAGUGGGACGCAAAAUAAUUUGAACUGAGAAGAAAUAGAUGUAGCAAAAAUAAUAAGUGCAAGUGACACAAGAAUUUACGUGGUUCGGCAUCGUGCCUACGUCCACAAACCUACACCAAUUUUUUUACUGUAUCAACAAGAGAAUAAAAGGAAUACAACAAAUACACUCUCUGUAUUUUAUUUGCCUAUGCAAAGACAAUCUCUCAAUUUUCUCUCGUUAAUUUUCUACACAAACGAAAGCCUAACUGCUUCUCACUUUGUGUUUUGCUCACUAUCUCUCGUGUUUUCACUCUACACGAUUUUCUUGCACUUCUCUUUUGCUCUCGUUUUGGCACACUCCUUUCCUCCUACUUUGGCUCCAAUUUAUAGGAAAAUUUUCACCUUCCUCAUUAAAUGCAUAUCCAUCAAUUUUCAACAAAAUUGGCUCCCAUAAAUGCAUGGCAAGAAAUUUCUUCCAAAAAAUUCGGCUGCAUGGUUUUCAUCUUUUCCAUUCACAUUCUAUUUCAACAUUUG